GGAACCGGAUAUUUAAGUACAAUGGUGGGCUUAAUUUUAGGUCCUUUUGGAAUAAAUCAUGGGAUUGAGCUUCAUUCAGAUGUGGUGGAAUACGCCAAGGAAAAACUGGAGAGCUUCAUCAAAAAUAGUGAUAGCUUUGAUAAGUAAGUAUUCAUAUCUAUAGUUUUGGUUUGAAAUCACUUAAUAAAUACAUGCAACAUGUCUGUUGAACACUAUUAUUGAUCCUGACUGGCUCAACUGAAUGCAGCAAAAAUCAGUGCACCAUAAAAUGAGAAAAAGUUAAGAUUAUUCUGUGCUAUAACUUUUACGAUAUGUAAUUCUAUAGUAAAUUAUAAAUAAUGUGAUUUUUUGCUACUACCACUUUAUUAGUAAUGUUGAAUUCAUUAAACAUUCAGGUAUCUUUUCUGGAGAUACAGUGUAAUAAUGCUGUGAUUGCAGUAUUUGUCUGGAACUGGUUUUUUACCUUUUGGAUAGUAAUUUAGUAGUUCUGUCCUCUUCAGUUGUAACAUAAGAGGUGGUACCUGUCAGUAUACAAAGGACUUUAACAUAUUCAGCUACUUUGUUAAUAUAUCCAGAAGAAAUGAUCAUAGAAAUACAUUGAUAUAUCUUGUGAUAGGAUUGUUUAUAAGAAACUGGUUUAUAAAACCAUUGUUUUGAACUCACAAUAUAACUCCUCUUAGAAGAAACAUUGCACAGGCUUUGGUCCUUGGGCUGGCAGGAAAAGUCCAUUUGGUGUGUAAUCCUAAAAUUCUGCAUUGCUGUAGAUCAAGAGCACUUAUGCUGAAAUCCACGAGCUCUUUGAAAUUGUGUAAAAUUUGGAGACCUUUUACAUCUCUCAUUUCGCUGUGUAUCUGAUUUUCAAAGAGAAAAAGUGUUAAAAAGGAUAGAAAACACAAGCUUAGAACAGUCACUUUAAAGAACAAAGUUUUAGGCAAAAACACUGAGAAUUUCAACUUGGCUUGUUGGGAGUGGGCCCUCAUUUAUCUCCAACCCUUGG
Molecule: small RNA, 997 nt
Filed under: Pongo abelii (Sumatran orangutan)
Lineage: Eukaryota; Metazoa; Chordata; Mammalia; Primates; Hominidae
Description: retained intron
Source: RNAcentral